GAGUUGCUUAAUUGUUCUGCACGCCA
Molecule: small RNA, 26 nt
Filed under: Bombyx mori (domestic silkworm)
Lineage: Eukaryota; Metazoa; Arthropoda; Insecta; Lepidoptera; Bombycidae
Description: ovarian small RNA-16042
Source: RNAcentral